GCAAAGGAGCCGUUUCAUACUGUGCUCCUCUGAGCCGUCUAUGCCUCUGUUUGUAUUCGCUGGUAGUCAGCAUGCACCUGUGUGUUUCAGCACUCACUGGUCUCUCUCAUUCCAACUGGUUGUUUUUGAAUGCUGUCAUGUUAGCAGCUCGUACAGCAGUCAGCAGGAGAGAAGCAGAACUGGACCUGGUAGACUCAAAAUAACAAAAACUCAGAGCAAAGGAAUUGUGUUUGGAGAGUUUCUGCCUCCAUUUUGAGACAAAAGAAAUCUGAGGAACAAACUUGCCUAGCUGGAAUGAAGGACUGACAACAAGCAGACUUGUGUGGAAAAGGACUGAUCUCUGAGGGAGACUGUUCAGCUUGCCUCCUGACAGAUGACCAGUUUCCCUCCGGGUGGCAGGAUGAACCCCUGUGGUGGAUGGAAAGCAGUGACCGUGUUCCCACCGGUUUCUUGAUUUAUGCUGAAGCAUUGGCCUACACUACCCCUCAAGCCUGACUACAUCUGAUUCUAGAGGACGUCUGACCAUCAGUGUGCCCCACUGGUAUGUUGGCGAUUUAUAAUACUUACAGUUUUCUCUCUGUUAGCUUGUUUCAGUGUAGUUUGUAAUCCGCACUGUAUGAUGCGUACCUGAUGAUUUUUUUUACAAUGCAUGUUUUUUGAUGGUGUUCGCUGUUCACACCAAAUAUUUUCUUGAGUUUAUGGCAGGUAGUAAGGUUAAGAGAAACUGUGUUAUUACAUAUUAUAGAAAUGCGUAGUUUAUUAAAUAAUCGUACAGAAAGUAUUUAGAAACCACCAGUUUUCUUUUCAAAAUUAAAACUGAUGUCAUGUUUUGUAUUCUGUACAGGUGCGAUUUAAUAUGAUUUCAUAGUCUCACUUAGUCUUACUUUAUUUACCUAGACAUAUCAGAUUUGUUGCAGAAUUAGCUUUUGCUUCGCUGUUGGAGAUUGUAGUUAUUUUUGUUCCUUGUUGCAAAGACUACAAAUGGUCUUGUAAUGGUCUUGGGACAUUUUAUUCAUAUUGCGGUAUUUCAUUAAAAAACCUCAUACUGCCUAAAAUGGCAUGUUAUACAGCACAAAUUUAUUUUCUAAAUUCAGAUCAUUCAUUAGUAGCUUGCAUUUUGCAUUUUCUGUGAAACAACAUACAGUAUAUUAUUCUGUCUGACAUUUCAAAAAUAAAUGUUGACCUCAAAAGAAUGUGAUCAGUAGGUUACACAAACACCACGUCCAUCUCACAGUCAUGUGCUCUGGCCUGUUCAGUGUACCAUGGUUUAAUUUCAAGGCUCUCCUCGGUAAGAUACACCAACAGGAGACAGACAGAUAUGUUUUAAAGCCACAAUGAAAAGGUCUAAUUGGAUAUAAAACAUGAACAAUAUGUGAGAGGAUCAGUAUUUUAUUUUAUUGUCUCAGUACUAUCACGCAAAGAUGUAUUCCUUAAAUAUUAAGAGAGCAAAAGUUAAAGUGGACUGCACUUGUAAUGUUCUAAUGUACAAUGGGAGAUAUAUGAUGUAGAUGUACAAAGUCAUCAACAUUAUAAACUCUGAUUGAUAAAUACAGUGUUGUUCAUUUUGACACAUUUGGUUGAAUGCCCACUGAGAUGAGCUAAGUUUACAGGUUCAGACAGUGGAAUGACUUGCUGUUUCCUUGUUUUGUGGGUUUCUGCUUCCUUAUUUGCUUUUGAAGGGGUGAUGCCA
Molecule: long non-coding RNA, 1690 nt
Organism: Lates calcarifer (barramundi perch)
Lineage: Eukaryota; Metazoa; Chordata; Actinopteri; Centropomidae
Exons: 4
Source: RefSeq, a predicted model, not a curated record